GGGUUGUGAGGUUAAGCGACUAAGCGUACACGGUGGAUGCCCUGGCAGUCAGAGGCGAUGAAGGGCGUGCUAAUCUGCGAUAAGCGCCGGUAAGGUGAUAUGAACCGUUAUAACCGGCGAUACCCGAAUGGGGAAACCCAGUGUGACUCGUCACACUAUCAUUAACUGAAUCCAUAGGUUAAUGAGGCGAACCGGGGGAACUGAAACAUCUAAGUACCCCGAGGAAAAGAAAUCAACCGAGAUUCCCCCAGUAGCGGCGAGCGAACGGGGAGGAGCCCAGAGCCUGAAUCAGCAUGUGUGUUAGUGGAAGCGUCUGGAAAGGCGCGCGAUACAGGGUGACAGCCCCGUACACAAAAGCGCAUGUGCUGUGAGCUCGAUGAGUAGGGCGGGACACGUGGUAUCCUGUCUGAAUAUGGGGGGACCAUCCUCCAAGGCUAAAUACUCCUGACUGACCGAUAGUGAACCAGUACCGUGAGGGAAAGGCGAAAAGAACCCCGGCGAGGGGAGUGAAAAAGAACCUGAAACCGUGUACGUACAAGCAGUGGGAGCACNNNNNNNNNNGUGUGACUGCGUACCUUUUGUAUAAUGGGUCAGCGACUUAUAUUCUGUAGCAAGGUUAACCGAAUAGGGGAGCCGGAGGGAAACCGAGUCUUAAUUGGGCGUUAAGUUGCAGGGUAUAGACCCGAAACCCGGUGAUCUAGCCAUGGGCAGGUUGAAGGUUGGGUAACACUAACUGGAGGACCGAACCGACUAAUGUUGAAAAAUUAGCGGAUGACCUGUGGCUGGGGGUGAAAGGCCAAUCAAACCGGGAGAUAGCUGGUUCUCCCCGAAAGCUAUUUAGGUAGCGCCUCGUGAAUUCAUCUCCGGGGGUAGAGCACUGUUUCGGCUAGGGGGCCAUCCCGGCUUACCAACCCGAUGCAAACUGCGAAUACCGGAGAAUGUUAUCACGGGAGACACACGGCGGGUGCUAACGUCCGUCGUGAAGAGGGAAACAACCCAGACCGCCAGCUAAGGUCCCAAAGUCAUGGUUAAGUGGGAAACGAUGUGGGAAGGCCCAGACAGCCAGGAUGUUGGCUUAGAAGCAGCCAUCAUUUAAAGAAAGCGUAAUAGCUCACUGGUCGAGUCGGCCUGCGCGGAAGAUGUAACGGGGCUAAACCAUGCACCGAAGCUGCGGCAGCGACACUGUGUGUUGUUGGGUAGGGGAGCGUUCUGUAAGCCUGCGAAGGUGGCCUGUGAGGGUUGCUGGAGGUAUCAGAAGUGCGAAUGCUGACAUAAGUAACGAUAAAGCGGGUGAAAAGCCCGCUCGCCGGAAGACCAAGGGUUCCUGUCCAACGUUAAUCGGGGCAGGGUGAGUCGACCCCUAAGGCGAGGCCGAAAGGCGUAGUCGAUGGGAAACGGGUUAAUAUUCCCGUACUUGGUGUUACUGCGAAGGGGGGACGGAGAAGGCUAUGUUGGCCGGGCGACGGUUGUCCCGGUUUAAGCGUGUAGGUGUGUGUUCCAGGUAAAUCCGGUUCACUUUAACACUGAGGCGUGACGACGAGGCACUACGGUGCUGAAGCAACAAAUGCCCUGCUUCCAGGAAAAGCCUCUAAGCAUCAGGUAACAUCAAAUCGUACCCCAAACCGACACAGGUGGUCAGGUAGAGAAUACCAAGGCGCUUGAGAGAACUCGGGUGAAGGAACUAGGCAAAAUGGUGCCGUAACUUCGGGAGAAGGCACGCUGACACGUAGGUGAAGUGAUUUACUCAUGGAGCUGAAGUCAGUCGAAGAUACCAGCUGGCUGCAACUGUUUAUUAAAAACACAGCACUGUGCAAACACGAAAGUGGACGUAUACGGUGUGACGCCUGCCCGGUGCCGGAAGGUUAAUUGAUGGGGUCAGCGCAAGCGAAGCUCCUGAUCGAAGCCCCGGUAAACGGCGGCCGUAACUAUAACGGUCCUAAGGUAGCGAAAUUCCUUGUCGGGUAAGUUCCGACCUGCACGAAUGGCGUAAUGAUGGCCAGGCUGUCUCCACCCGAGACUCAGUGAAAUUGAACUCGCUGUGAAGAUGCAGUGUACCCGCGGCAAGACGGAAAGACCCCGUGAACCUUUACUAUAGCUUGACACUGAACAUUGAGCCUUGAUGUGUAGGAUAGGUGGGAGGCUUUGAAGUGUGGACGCCAGUCUGCAUGGAGCCGACCUUGAAAUACCACCCUUUAAUGUUUGAUGUUCUAACGUGGACCCGUUACCCGGGUUGCGGACAGUGUCUGGUGGGUAGUUUGACUGGGGCGGUCUCCUCCUAAAGAGUAACGGAGGAGCACGAAGGUUGGCUAAUCCUGGUCGGACAUCAGGAGGUUAGUGCAAUGGCAUAAGCCAGCUUGACUGCGAGCGUGACGGCGCGAGCAGGUGCGAAAGCAGGUCAUAGUGAUCCGGUGGUUCUGAAUGGAAGGGCCAUCGCUCAACGGAUAAAAGGUACUCCGGGGAUAACAGGCUGAUACCGCCCAAGAGUUCAUAUCGACGGCGGUGUUUGGCACCUCGAUGUCGGCUCAUCACAUCCUGGGGCUGAAGUAGGUCCCAAGGGUAUGGCUGUUCGCCAUUUAAAGUGGUACGCGAGCUGGGUUUAGAACGUCGUGAGACAGUUCGGUCCCUAUCUGCCGUGGGCGCUGGAGAACUGAGGGGGGCUGCUCCUAGUACGAGAGGACCGGAGUGGACGCAUCACUGGUGUUCGGGUUGUCAUGCCAAUGGCACUGCCCGGUAGCUAAAUGCGGAAGAGAUAAGUGCUGAAAGCAUCUAAGCACGAAACUUGCCCCGAGAUGAGUUCUCCCUGAGACUUAAAGUCUCCUGAAGGAACGUUGAAGACGACGACGUUGAUAGGCCGGGUGUGUAAGCGCAGCGAUGCGUUGAGCUAACCGGUACUAAUGAACCGUGAGGCUUAACCUUACAACGCCGAAG
This 2928-nucleotide ribosomal RNA is filed under the name Salmonella enterica subsp. enterica serovar Enteritidis str. EC20121825. RNAcentral's name for it is "bacterial LSU rRNA". It matches the Rfam family "Bacterial large subunit ribosomal RNA". RNAcentral also lists the same sequence under 4 other names. The record is from RNAcentral. Lineage: Bacteria; Pseudomonadati; Pseudomonadota; Gammaproteobacteria; Enterobacterales; Enterobacteriaceae.